CUGAGAGGCAGGCUCUGGACUGGGGACACAGGGAUAGCUGAGCCCCAGCUGGGGGUGGAAGCUGAGACAGGGACAGUCACAGAGGAACAAGAUCAAGAUGCGCUUUAACUGAGAAGCCCCCAAGGCAGAGGCUGAGAAUCAGAAGACAUUUCAGCAGACAUCUACAAAUCUGAAGGACAAAACAUGGUUCAAGCAUCUGGGCACAGGCGAAAUGGGGUUUCGCCAUGUUCACCAGGCUGUUCUUGAACUCCUGACCUCAGGUGAUCCACCCGCCUCGGCCUCCCAAAAGGUUGGGAUUACAGAACAUACAUAUGAUAGUUGAAAAAGACACAUAUUCUGAUCAUGAAGAAAUAAACACAAGUUAAAUAUGACUAAGCAGAAAGAUGGAAGGACCAGGAACGGUGAUGCUAACUUGGAACCACGAUGCAGGCUCUAAACUCCUCUACAAUCAUCCUCCCUUGGCUGCCGCAGUUUGCUGGGGGUCCACUCCAGACCCUAUUCACUUGGUCCCUCCCCUACCUGGAGGUGUCACCAGUGGAAGCUGCAGAACAGCAAGGAUGGCUGCCAGCUCCUUCUUCUUUGAGCUCCAUCCCAGAGGGGCACUGAUGUGAUGCCAGCAGGAACACUCCUGUAUAAGAUAAGAUCUAAGGCACGUGAGAUGAUAUGCUUUCUGUUUGAGUUUCUCCUUUAUGUUACACAUACUGAUAAAAUUGUUGAUGCCAGUUGAUCUGAAGGUCCCAGCAAGGAGCCGACUCACAGAAGAAUGCAGUUUUCACAUCGUGAUGAUUUAAUCUUCCUUGACCUGACCAAUUGACAACCCCAAUUCUCCAGAACCUCACCCGCCACAAUCCCCUUAAAAACCCUGGCCCAGAACCCCUCAAGCAGACAGAUUUGAAGCUUGAGGAUUCCUUCAUCUCUUUGCCCAAUGGCAUUGUGAUUAUUAAACUCUUUUUCUGCUGCAAAUUA
This 966-nucleotide long non-coding RNA is filed under the name Homo sapiens (human). RNAcentral's name for it is "HSALNT0352181". Lineage: Eukaryota; Metazoa; Chordata; Mammalia; Primates; Hominidae. The record is from RNAcentral.